UACGUAGGCAGCAAGCGUUGUUCGGAGUUACUGGGCGUAAAGAGUGUGUAGGCGGUUGGGUAAGUUUGGUGUGAAAUCUCCCGGCUUAACUGGGAGGGUGCGCUAAAGACUGCCUGGCUAGAGUGUGGGAGAGGAAAGCGGAAUUCCUGGUGUAGCGGUGAAAUGCGUAGAUAUCAGGAGGAACACCUGCGGUGUAGACGGCUUUCUGGACCAUAACUGACGCUGAGAUACGAAAGCGUGGGUAGCAAACAGG
RNAcentral lists this ribosomal RNA (253 nucleotides) under uncultured bacterium. Its description in RNAcentral is "partial 16S ribosomal RNA". It matches the Rfam family "Bacterial small subunit ribosomal RNA", at positions 524 to 776 of the family's 1533-position model. The record is from RNAcentral.